RNAcentral lists this transfer RNA (58 nucleotides) under Streptococcus thermophilus CAG:236. Its description in RNAcentral is "transfer RNA-Pseudo(GCA)". It matches the Rfam family "tRNA", at positions 7 to 64 of the family's 71-position model. Rfam says of the family: Transfer RNA (tRNA) molecules are approximately 80 nucleotides in length. Their secondary structure includes four short double-helical elements and three loops (D, anti-codon, and T loops). Lineage: Bacteria; Bacillati; Bacillota; Bacilli; Lactobacillales; Streptococcaceae. The record is from RNAcentral.
AUAGCCAAGUGGUAAGGCACGGCUCUGCAAAAGCUUGAUCGUCGGUUCAAAUCCGUCU